AGACGUGAAGGUGAUCUGGCCAGGUAUUUGGUUGUCUAAUUGAUACCCAGGGUUGGUUUGGCUCUUCUGAGUAGCUGAGCAGGUGACCAUUUCUCCCUCAGUGCUCCAUAUGCAUCCCUUCUAAAGCUACACACUGGGUUGAAGAGGCUGACUUUCUUUGAUAAAGGGAAAAUAUCCUUGGGUCAAGAGCAUACAAGUGAUUGUGUUCCCUGCUAGAAAGAACAAACAAGCAAGAUUUUAUACAAUAUAAAAUUUUAGCCACCUGUGGUGACACAUGCCUUU
This 282-nucleotide small nuclear RNA is filed under the name Nannospalax galili (Upper Galilee mountains blind mole rat). Its description in RNAcentral is "7SK RNA (ENSNGAG00000002505.1)". It matches the Rfam family "7SK RNA". From Rfam's summary of the family: 7SK was discovered as an abundant small nuclear RNA in the mid-70s but a possible function has only recently been suggested. Two independent studies have found that 7SK RNA binds the CDK9/cyclin T complex (known as elongation factor P-TEFb). Lineage: Eukaryota; Metazoa; Chordata; Mammalia; Rodentia; Spalacidae. The record is from Rfam by way of RNAcentral.